Molecule: long non-coding RNA, 2793 nt
Organism: Triticum dicoccoides
Lineage: Eukaryota; Viridiplantae; Streptophyta; Magnoliopsida; Poales; Poaceae
Exons: 5
Source: RefSeq, a predicted model, not a curated record
CUCCGACCGCACCCUGCGCCUCCACGCGCGAUCUCGCGCUCGAGCCUCCCCGCCGCCCCGCGCCGGCCGCCGCCCAUCGCAUCGUCCCUCCCCGAACCUCACCGCCGGCAGCCUUUGCCCCUCUCCUCCGCUUCCCUCCCAGAUCAAAUGGAUCCCCCACCAAUCCAUCUCUCUCUCCCGCGACCCCUCUCUCUCUCCCUGGACACAUCUCCGCCGCCACAGAUGCCGGCCGAUCCCGGCAUUCUCCGGCGACUUUCGACACCACGCAGCACCGGCCCGGGCUCGCCUCGCUCCGCUGGGUCUUUUCCGCCAGCGGGAUUCGCCGCUCCCGGCCACCAGCGAUGACGUUAAGCCCUCACCAUGUCUAGGGUUUCGGGCGCCUCCACACUGGCGUGGCUCCGGCGCCUCCGGCGGAUCCUCUCCGACGCCCAUCGCGCCCCCACAGGCAUCUCCGUGUCCAGGAUGCUGCUCCUGUGCCCGCUGGCCAUGGGAUGUGCAGAGCAAGGAUUGGAUGCUUGAGGAAGGAGGGGUCGACCUUGCCUUGCUGCAGCUUGGGAUGCACCACCCAUGGAGCUUCCUCCUUUCUAUCUUCAGCUGAGUUCGCCCCCUCCUCGGCUCUUGUUCGUGGCCAUCAGAAAAUGUGUUGUAUACUGACGUAUUUCAAACUGAAAACAAUGAGUGCCAAUACAAGAUGUAUAGUAACCCCUUGUGAACUCGAUUCGUAUUGGGUAGUGAAUCGUCGUGAACCAAGGAAUUGCAGGUACAACAAUGCUUGGCAUUCAGGACGCAACGAAGCAGGAAAAAUCAAAGGUGGAUCUUGCCCAGCUGAUAAACAAGAAGGACACCGACCUAAGGGUGAUUACAGUGGGCGGAAAAGGUGCUGAUCUUGGGCAUACAUCGAUCAUCCGGGCAGUUUACAAGGAUCCAGAGAUCAAAAACAAUUUUCCGUGCCGAGCAUGGGUGAGGUUGAUGCAUCCUUUCAGUCCAGAAGACUUCAUUCAAAGUUUAGUAGAGCAGCUUCACGCAUCCGAAGGAGUUGACAUUCUGCUGGAAACAAAAAAGAUGGGGAAAGAGUUAGCUGAGGAAUUCAAUGGAUAUUUCAAUGCUAAGAAGUUCCUGAUUGUGCUUAAUGACUUAUCAACCAUUGAAGAGUGGAAUCGGGUUAAGAGGUGCUUCCCAAACAAUAAGAAAGGGAGCCUGAUAAUAGUGUCUACAAGGCAAGUUGAAGUUGCAAGCUUAUGUGCAGGACAAGAAAGCAUAGUAUUUGAGCUCAAGCAGUCGUCUGUUGAUCAGAAUAUUAAUGCUUUCUAUGAGAAGGUAACAUUCAAAGUUCUACUGCUUGUCCUCUUCUGAAUUAUACAGCAAGACUCGGUUAUAGUGUGGCCUUCGAAUCAGAACUACAAUAUUGACUUUGUAGCUGCAUGGUGGGAAUCAGUUUUUGUUAUCACUGAUCCUUCCAAACUGAAGCUUAGAGAGAUCAAAAUGUUACAUGCUGAACGGCCAGGAGUGAACUACUCAAGUCGUCCGACAGUGUCCCACGCCGACCUCCGGUGGAUCUCCUCCCGGAUCAGACCUAACCCCCGCACUACUUGGGGCCCUCCCCCAUGCCAUUGCAGCCCUCAGCUACGACGCCCAUUGCCUUCUCGAGAUCAACAACCACCUGCAAGAAAACUGUUCGAUCAAUCGACCCAACAGACAGGAGCCUAGAGAAUGGGGAGAAAGAGGAGGAGAUGUGGUUGUCAGCACGGUGUUGAACCACCGACGCGGCGGAAAAAUGAGCAUGUGUUGUGCAAGAGGAGAUCCACACUGCCAGCAUGUGUCUCUUCAACCAGUAUGAUCACGUCCUCGUGUGCCUUCGCCCGGCUGAUCCGGUGACGGCAAUUGUCAUCUUCUUAAAAUUUAGAUGGACAUUUGGAUGUUCUUGAUUUUUUUUCUUCUAAAAUGAACAUAACUGUCAGCUUCUUUCUUGGGUAAUCAAACUCCGGUGGAAUAAUAGUAUAACUCGUGUUUUUGUUUUAGGUCUUGCGCAUCUGGUGUACCCAAGGCCGUCCACAUGCGUUUUGAACAUUCAUUAGGUGUUUAUCGUCUAGCUGAGGAGGCUAUGAACAAUCUGAAAAAACUAGGUUUGUACCAUGAAGCACAUGCUCUAGAAAUGCUAUACAUGUUCUCCCUUAUGUUCUUUUGGUAAUCCACUUCACAACUGACUAAAUUGCACCACUGCCUGACCUGUGCUAUGUAUGAAUUUGAGGAUUUACUUGAGAAAACUUCUACUGAAGUUAAUGAUUCCCUGUCAAAUCCGCGCAUAUGUAACUGCAGCAAGAACUGCUUGUGAUGUGCAAGCUAGGAUCAGCUUGAACGUCUUAUUGAAUGCCUUCAUGGAGACAACGGUGAUACGUUCCAAGAUUGUAUUACCUUGGCCCGACUUAAGUUUGAAGAUUAUUUCUCCAACCAUGUGGACCAGCUGAAUUUUACUCUCCCUGAAGAUUCAGUGACCAGCUCUGGUGCUCCCUUUGAUCUGGUCUGCAGCAAGUACACUGCCUGAUCUUAGUUGUUGCCAGCAUCGUGGUUUGGAAAAAAGUGGUGUACGAAUGGCUUCUGAGGAUAGUUUGCACCAAGUACUUAAGGUCAGCCUACUUAUGCUGUUGUAAGCACAACUGUUCAAUUUUAAAUCAUUAGGAAGUGAGCAUAGCUUCUUUUAGGUUCUAUAAUUAUUAGAUGGCUUAAGUAGUGCCCUGUUGCUCUGUCAGUUCUCUGAAAAACAUUCAAGAAGGGAGCAAUCUUUUACUUAAUUCG